This 6272-nucleotide long non-coding RNA is filed under the name Coffea arabica (coffee). Its description in RNAcentral is "long non-coding RNA (CARA_LNC000489)". Lineage: Eukaryota; Viridiplantae; Streptophyta; Magnoliopsida; Gentianales; Rubiaceae. The record is from RNAcentral.
AGAAGUUUCUUUCCACAUUCAAAGUUGUCAAUCAAAUUCCAGGUAGACUAGGAAGCGCUACAUCUUCACCAUCUAUACAACUUGAAAGGAGAGACAAAUAGAAAUCCCAAUUUCUGGAUAUUGAACUCAAGAACUGGUUGAGGUAAAGAUAUCUUAAAUUCAAUGGAAUAAAAAUGCUUGCUACAGAAUAUACCAAACUUCGCUAAAGACAACCAAAACUCCUCUCAUGCUAUCAAAGCAGAAUCUGCAACUUCAAAGUAUAUUGACAACACCGUCAUGAAUAAACCUGGACAAACAAAUGACACUGCAAUUGUGCUCAAAACAUAACCAUUACAAAUGAUCAGGAUGAGAAACCUCUACGUCUGUUUCGAUUUCUUGGUGAUCAGUAGCAUGCAACUAGUAUGAAUUAGUAAUGCAGAAAUUCAGGCUUGAAAACAUUCAUCCGAGUUCAACCCCCAGCUCUUCCUGAAAUUGAAUGCCAUAAUUUAAAAAACUAUAGUGCUGUACAAAGAAAACCAGGCACAACCACACGAGCGAGGAACUCCUUCGAAAUCAUGUAGACCACAAUACCAGGUAACAAAAUGACCAGAGAUUCUUGAAUUCAAGCUCCCUAAAUGGAAACCAGUUAUGCAACAUCACAUUCAACAUGUGCAAAAUCAAUCAGGAUUAUGGUGAACCAUAAAUUGAAAUUCUUCUUUGCAUCUCCUAAUUCUGAUAAUUCACCCCGUCAGUCUACAGCAAUAACAUCAAACAGCAACAGAGAGAAUUUUGACAGAUGAAGAAGCUAAUUGACGUCAGAAUUUUCCAAAAACUUGUACUGGACCCUGGAGAACAUGACAAACCAAUUAUUUCUAUGCACCCUGAAGAACAUGACAAACCAAAUAUUUCCAUGCACCCUUUAUUCUUUCAAAUACUUUAUGAACUCAAUAGUAAAAAUGCUGAAAACACAGCAUAGUUGGACGACCAUCAUGAGUAAUUCAGAAUUCAUCCAUCAAAAGCUAAAAAAUUGAAGAAAUAUAUGUGAACCAUCAUCCCACCGUGCUAUUCAAUUCCAUAAGGCCUAUAACAUUUAUCUUGAACCUGUUACUUAAGAACCAAACCAUGACCAAAACUCCUAAAUCCAAUCUGCAGAAUUAAACAGAUUAUAAAGCAUGACUAAUGCAUCAGUGAUGUUUUCAACAAACACAAUAACAGGAUGGCAUCAAGAGAUUCCAUGAUUCAAACCACAAUAUCGUGGAUAUCUGAAUAACAUAAUCAUCCAAGAGACCCCUAUUUCUUCACAAUCCUCUCGCUAGGACUAGAGUUGUGCAAGGGAGUACCAGGACAUCAGAACCCAACUUAAAACUCGACACCAAGAUGAAAACCAAUAUCAGAGCUGUCCAUUAAUCCCAACCAUCCAGAAAUUUAGGUUAUAUACAUACCAUCAAAACUAAUUAAUAUACCAAGCAUAAUGUUAAUUCUUUUCAGAUCAUGAUGAAUCAUCAAAACACCAGGAACCGCCAAUACAUGCAUGUUCAAUCGCAGAAUUAGAUAGUUUACAAGAAAACAAUCCCCAAAAAGAAAGGGCCUGGGAUUAAGCUAAUCAGAAAUUAAUAGAGAAGCAAAAUAGGUGCAAGUGAAUUAAAUGGGCAGGUCACAGCACAAUUAACAGUUGGGAUUAAGCAGUGAUACGCAAAUCACUGCUCUCUUAAAUGAGGAUCAGGAACAUGGGCUUCCAAGUGAUUACUGCCAAAAUGAUUGAUGCAUAAGGUAUUUCCAUAAACAUAGUGGACUGCAGAAGGAAGGGAUCAUGAAAAUUUUAAAUUAUAUAAUAGACACCAGAAGUACCAAAGCCCGUAUGGGCUUCCGAGUGAUUACUGCCAGAAUGAUUGAUGCAUAAGGUAUUUCCAUAAACAUAGUGGACUACGGAAGGAAGGGAUCAUGAAAAUUUUAAAUUAAAUUUAAAUUAUAUAAUAGACAUCAGAAGUACCAAAGCCCGUAACAUCCCCAAGCAGAAAGGAAUGGUAAGAGUAGACGAACACCCUCCAAAACAAUGUACUAGCCUUUGAUCUGACAAUAGAGACCUUAAGUCUUCGCCACACCUCCAAGUCACUGGAAGCCUAGACUCGCAAAAAAUAAUAUAGUAAAUUAAAGAACAGAGAGAAAAUCAUUUUUCAAGAAAAUGAAAAAAAAAAUAGAAAAAAAAAGGUUGGGAAAGAGAAAAGCUCAUCCAAAAUCUUAUCACAAAACCAAAUAGCAGGGAUCCCAAACAUGGCCAAUAGUCCCCGUUCAAGCUUCCCUAAAAUCAAGACAACAGAUAGAAACCGUCACCAAAUACCCCCAGUGAAUUUUCCAGGAAAGAGAACAAAGACCACGUUGGCAAGAAAAACUCCCAAUUUAAUUCAAAUCCAUCCAAAUGAAAGCUCUUCUACCCUCCGCAAACCAGAAGUCCACUAUUCCUGAAAGACGACAUCAAAAGAACCAGAACCAGAGGAAACGAAAUCUUGAAACAUCACCAAGAUCGGAACAAACAGUAAAGCAACUGCCUAUAGCAAUGCAACAAUGAUGCAGAAAGCAAAACUCCAGAUUACAGAUUACAUUCACAUCCAUCCAAUAAUUUUUAAGAAUCAUCACCUCAAAAGCCCAUAUUCAGUCACCACCCUCAGUAGAAUUCUGCAAGUGAGUGAAAACAUGAAUAGCCAACAAAGACUUGAACUUGGCACAAAGAUGAAAUAAAAAUUGUAGAUCAUCUAGAAUAUUAUCAGAACUGACAAAUGUAGCAUUCAAUCUUCUUCAGACCAUGAUGAAUCAGCACCACCAAAAACACUACCUAUAGAGACAUGUUAGAUGACAGAAUUUAAUUCCCGUUAGAUACCAAGCACCGCAGAGCCAUCCCCAAAGAGAAGUCCUGGACUAAGCUAAUCCAUCAAAAUACGAAACACAAGAAAAGAACAAUAGGGUACAAUAACAUAGGUGAAUUGAAUGGACAGAAGACAAUUCAUAGAUGGUUUAGAAAAAAAAAAGUUGAGAAUAAGCAGAGCUAUACACUUGGUUAUACCUCAAUCUAUUUCUCAUGGAUCAGGAAAGUCAACUCUGCAGGGAUUACCACCAGACCAAAUAAUGGAGACAGAAUAAGAAAAGAUUAACAGAAAAAUUAUAUAGUGUCAAAACCCCUAAAUUCCUCGUGCACAAAAGAUAAAUUAGUAUAGGUGAGAAAAUAACUCCCUCCAAAUAAGUUUACUAGCCCUUGAUCCGAGAAUAGAGAGGUAAGUUGAACCACCUUCACUGAAGCCCUAGUAAUAUAGGAAAUUAUAAGACAGAGCAGAUCUACCAUCCAGAGAUCUCUCAAUCAAUUUCAAGGAAACAACAGAAAACAAGUAGGGAAAGGGAGAGCUCCUCCAAAAUCUUUUCGCCCAGAAUAGCACAGUAACAAACAUGAUAACAAUGCUUUGAUCCAAGCUAUCCUAAAAUGAAGACAAGAGAGAAGCCAUUACCAACAAACACCAGUGAUCUCAAGGCAAACAGAACAAACAAGAGAACUCCGAUUUACCACAUCCAUCCAAGAGAAGAGAGCACUUUUUGCCCAUACAGAACUCCAGCAUUCUAAGACAACCACACCAAAAGAACCAGAAAAGAAGAGACAAUCUUGGAAAAAGAAAAGAACGAGUACCAUUCACGAAGUAUUCAACAUACUGCAAAAGUGCAAGAAAGUGCAGGCCUUCAUGAUCAAUUCUUAAUCAACACCACAGAGAAACUUCUGGAAGCCCAGAGCCACCACCUACAGCAACACCACCUAAAGCAACAACAAAACACCACCUGGAGGUCCAGGUAAAAGCUCCAGAUUUUACAUUACAUUCAGACCCAUCCAAUUUAUUCACGAAGAGACACAUCCCAGAGACCUCCCUUUGACUGCGGAAAGCAACACAAAAAGCCAACAAAAAUUCAAAAUUUGACACAGAUGAGAACUGACAAUGGAAUGAACAAAUAACACCAGCUUUUUACAAAUUUAGAUUACCUACCAUAACCCCAAACCUAUUCAUAUAACAAGCAUAAACUUCAGAUCAUGAUGAACCACCAAAACACCAGAACCUACCUUAAAACAUGUUUAGUGGCAGAAUUUGAGCACUAAGAAAUACUUCAGAAGAUCAAAAUCGCCAAACUGGUAAGAUCCUAAGCAUCUGAGAACCAUUCCCCAGACAUAAAUAAGGCAUGGGAUAAGCAGCAAAAUGGGUGCAUGUGAAUUGAAUGGGCAGGUCGAAGGUGUCCAACCAUUAAUCGCUGGGAUUAAGCAGUGAUACCUUUUCCUUGAGGAUCAGGAACACAAGACUUCCAAGCAAUUACUGACAAAACAAGUAAUGCAUAACAUUUCUACAAACAUGGUGGACUAUGGAAGAAAAGAUUUACAAAAAAACUAGAUUAUAUUUAUAAUAGUCUGCAGACAUCAAAAAGUACUAAAACCUGUAAAAUGCUCAAGCAAAAAAAAUAAAAUGAUAAGCAUAGAUAAGAAGAUAAAUCCCCCUCUAUAAUAAUGUACUAGCCUUUGAUCUUGAGGACAGAGACCUAAGUUUUGGCCACACCUCUGAAUCACCAGAAUCCUAGAUUCCACACAAAAUGAUAUAGUAAAUUAGAGAACAAGUAGAGAAAAUCAUUUUUAAAGAAACAGCAAAAAAAAAGAGCAGGGAAAGAGAAAGCUUAUCCAAAAUCUUGUUACAAAACCCGUUAGCAGGGUACCAAACACACCAACACUCCUACAACAAGCUUCCCUAAAAUCAACACAACAGACAGAAGGCAUCACCAACCGCCACCUUGAUUUUUUCAGGCAGAGGGAACAAAGAAAGACCAGGUUGAAAAGAAAUCUCCCGAUUUUAUUCACAUCCAUCCAAGAGAGAACUCCUCUCGCCUCCACACACCAGAAAUCCACUAUUCUUGAAAGACAUCAAAAAAACCAGAAGACAAGACAAAUCUUGAAAAAUCACCAAGAACAAAACACAGUAAUUAGCGUCAAGUCCUUUUACCAAUCCACUCUAUAGGGAGACUGCUGAAAAACCAGAACUGCUGCCUACAGCAAUGCAAAAAUAAAGCAGAAAGCAAAAUCAAGGAUCACAUUCACAUCCAUUGCAUAAUUCCACGAAGAAUCACAUCCCAUAAUUCUAAAAAAAUGGCAUCCAAAAGCCCAUGUUCCAUCACCACCCUCAAUAAAGGAAUGGAUCAAAAGACUUGGCACAAAGCCAAGAAUAAUCCUCAAAUAAAAACUCUGAACAAUUUACCAUUCAAUCAAACCAAUAUGCAUAGCCUUAACUCUUCUUCAGAUCAAGCUGCAUAAGCAAAAUACCAGGACCCCCACCCAUACAAAAGUUUGAUGACGGAAUCUACUUCCUGUUAUAUACUGAGCAGCACAUAACCAUCCCCAAAGAAAAGCACUGGAUUAAGCUAGUCCAUCAAAUCCAAAAGCCAAAAAAAAAUGCUAACCUUAGGUGAAUUGAAUGGGUAGGUUGAAAGCAUUCACACAGUUUUUCCAGAAAUAAACGGUUGAAUAGCAAAGUUAUGCACUUGGUUACAACCCGUUCUAUUCAGAGUGGAUCAGGAAAGUUGACUCUGCAUGACAUGCUGCAGACCAAAAAGAUUCACGGACAAAUUAUAUUAUAAAUAUGGUGUCCAACCCCCUAAAUUCCUCAAGCACAAAAGAACAAUUAGCGUAGGUGAGAAAUUAACUCCCUCCAAAAAAUUUUACAAGCCCUUGAUCUGAGGAUGGAAAGGCAAGUUUGAAUCACAAAUCACUGGAACCCAAAGUUGCAACACCCUAGUAAUAUAGGAAAUUAGAGAACAAGCAGAGCAAAUCCACAAAUGUCCUAAUCAACUUCAACAAAACAGCAGAAAACAAGCAGGGAAAUAGAGGUCCUCCAAAAUCUUGUUAAGCCCGAAUAGCAGGGUAACAAACAUGAUGAAAAUGCUCCGAUCCAAACUUCCCUAAAAUGAAGAUAAUAGUUAAGCCAUUACCAACGUGCGCCAGUGAUUUUUAGGCAAAGAACACAAACAAAGAAUUGAUUGGCAGAAGAGAACUCCCAAUUUAUCACCUUCAUCCAUCCAAGAAGAGUUCUUUUUGCUUCUAUCCAUCCAGGAAGAGCUCUUUUCACUUUCAUACACAGAACUCCAUCAUUCUAAGAUCACAUCAAAAGAACCAGAAUUUAAAAGCUAAGAAAUACUUGACAACAUCAAUAUUACCAUAUUGAUACGAUCCUAAGCAUCUGAGAACCAUUCCCAAAGACAGAAGGCAGGGAACCAAAAUAAAUUCA